ACGAACCGUCCAAACGUUAUUCGGAAUCAUUGGGCUUAAAGGGUGCGUAGGCGGUGCAGUCAGUCGGGUGUGAAAUCCCUCGGCUCAACCGAGGAACUGCGCCCGAUACUGCUGUGCUUGAGGGAGACAGAGGCGAGCGGAACUGAUGGUGGAGCGGUGAAAUGCGUUGAUAUCAUCAGGAACACCAGUGGCGAAAGCGGCUCGCUGGGUCUCUUCUGACGCUGUGGCACGAAAGCUAGGGGAGCGAACGGG
This 252-nucleotide ribosomal RNA is filed under the name uncultured bacterium. RNAcentral describes it as "partial 16S ribosomal RNA". It matches the Rfam family "Bacterial small subunit ribosomal RNA", at positions 525 to 776 of the family's 1533-position model. The record is from RNAcentral.